CCUACGGGAGGCAGCAGUGGGGAAUAUUGGACAAUGGGGGGAACCCUGAUCCAGCCAUGCCGCGUGUGUGAAGAAGGCCCUCGGGUUGUAAAGCACUUUCAGUGAGCAAGAACGCCUGGUGGUUAAUACCCAUCAGGAAAGACAUCACUCACAGAAGAAGCACCGGCUAACUCCGUGCCAGCAGCCGCGGUAAUACGGAGGGUGCGAGCGUUAAUCGGAAUUACUGGGCGUAAAGCGCGCGUAGGUGGCUUGAUAAGCCGGUUGUGAAAGCCCCGGGCUCAACCUGGGAACGGCAUCCGGAACUGUCAAGCUAGAGUGCAGGAGAGGAAGGUAGAAUUCCCGGUGUAGCGGUGAAAUGCGUAGAGAUCGGGAGGAAUACCAGUGGCGAAGGCGGCCUUCUGGACUGACACUGACACUGAGGUGCGAAAGCGUGGGUAGCAAACAGGAUUAGAUACCCUGGUAGUC
This 465-nucleotide ribosomal RNA is filed under the name Vreelandella stevensii. RNAcentral's name for it is "partial 16S ribosomal RNA". It matches the Rfam family "Bacterial small subunit ribosomal RNA", at positions 338 to 795 of the family's 1533-position model. The record is from RNAcentral. Lineage: Bacteria; Pseudomonadati; Pseudomonadota; Gammaproteobacteria; Oceanospirillales; Halomonadaceae.